This is a long non-coding RNA of Cydia splendana, 474 nucleotides long. RefSeq lists it as uncharacterized. The record is from RefSeq and is a predicted model, not a curated record. NCBI's taxonomy places the organism in Eukaryota, Metazoa, Arthropoda, Insecta, Lepidoptera, Tortricidae. The transcript has 5 exons.
CUUCAAGUAUCAGGGAUGCGGAUGAAGGGGUAACUGAAUUUCCCUUUGCACAAGCUAAGGUGAAAUACCACCGGUCCCGCUACUGCAUCACUGUCUUCGGGGAAACUAAUUGCGUUAGAAUGGAAGAGGAACCCGGAGACGCUGCCAAAUUAGCAAAGCUCUACAAAAUAGUAUGGCAGGGUUAUCAACAAAAAUUAGGCCUACGUACCGGUCAACAUAUUAAACCAGGUAUCCGAGGCCUUGAUGAUAUACUGAGCCAAGACAUAAACACAGACGCACUAAACCUGUUAAUUAAACCCCUAAGAAGCCAAAACUUGAAGACGAGUGCAUUUCUAAGUAUCCAGCCGAGAAAAACGAACCAAGAUAUACCAAAAAUCAGCAACGAGAUCAAGCCCUUUUUUAGGGAGUUACCUAAAAAGAUGAGUCAAAAGAUUGCAUUCCAUAAAUAUAUAACUCAAAAGCCUAAUCAUGUCG